Molecule: transfer RNA, 91 nt
Filed under: Rosa chinensis
Lineage: Eukaryota; Viridiplantae; Streptophyta; Magnoliopsida; Rosales; Rosaceae
Description: tRNA RchiOBHm_Chr7g0223351
Source: RNAcentral
CGAAUAAGCCGCUAUGGUGAAAUCGGUAGAUAUGUUGCUCUUAAAAACCAAUGCUAGAGCAGUUUGGUUUGAGUCUGAGUAGCGGCAUGAC